This 969-nucleotide ribosomal RNA is filed under the name uncultured marine bacterium. RNAcentral describes it as "bacterial SSU rRNA". It matches the Rfam family "Bacterial small subunit ribosomal RNA", at positions 56 to 1061 of the family's 1533-position model. The record is from RNAcentral.
UGCAAGUCGAACGGGAACUUUUUAAGUUCUAGUGGCGGACGGGUGAGUAACGCGUGAGAAUUUACCUCUAGGAGGGGAACAACAGUUAGAAAUGACUGCUAAUGCCCCAUAUGCUUUAUAGUGAAACGGAUUCGUCCGCCUGGAGAAAAGCUCGCGUCUGAUUAGCUAGUUGGUAAGGUAAAGGCUUACCAAGGCGACGAUCAGUAGCUGGUUUGAGAGGAUGAUCAGCCACACUGGAACUGAGACACGGUCCAGACUCCUACGGAGGCAGCAGUGGGGAAUUUUCUGCAAUGGGCGCAAGCCUGACAGAGCAAUACCGCGUGAGGGAUGAAGGCCCGUGGGUCGUAAACCUCUUUUUUCAAGGAGGAAGUUCUGACGUGUACUUGAAGAAUAAGCAUCGGCUAACUCCGUGCCAGCAGCCGCGGUAAGACGGAGGAUGCAAGUGUUAUCCGGAAUUACUGGGCGUAAAGCGUCUGUAGGUGGUUUAGUAAGUCGAUUGUUAAAGCUUGGGGCUUAACUCCAAAUCAGCAAUGGAAACUGCUAGACUUGAGUAUGGUAGAGGUAAAAGGAAUUUCCAGUGGAGCGGUGAAAUGCGUAGAUAUUGGAAAGAACACCGAUGGCGAAGGCAUUUUACUGGGCCAUAACUGACACUCAGAGACGAAAGCUAGGGUAGCAAAUGGGAUUAGAUACCCCAGUAGUCCUAGCUGUAAACGAUGGAUACUAGAUGUUGCACGUAUCGACCCGUGCAGUGUCAUAGCUAACGCGUUAAGUAUCCCGCCUGGGAAGUAUGCGCGCAAGCGUGAAACUCAAAGGAAUUGACGGGGGCCCGCACAAGCGGUGGAGCAUGUUGGUUUAAUUUGAUGCAACGCGAAGAACCUUACCAGGGUUUGACAUGACAGGAUUCUUCUGAGAAGAGGAAGUGCCUUUUUAAGAACCUGUACACAGGUGGUGCAUGGCUGUCGUCAGCUC